RNA transcript from Esox lucius (northern pike), 2127 nucleotides. RefSeq lists it as uncharacterized. NCBI's taxonomy places the organism in Eukaryota, Metazoa, Chordata, Actinopteri, Esociformes, Esocidae. The record is from RefSeq and is a predicted model, not a curated record. The transcript is spliced from 8 exons.
GAGUGCAGGUUAAAGGCACUACAUAUGCAAAUGGAAUGCUAGUCUUACUGAGCUAUGCCAAAGGCCAACUGCAGUUAGGACAAAUAGCAAGCAUUUUUGUAAAAAAUGAAACUACUGUCCUACUUUUGCUUCGGGGGAAAACUGCCAGCUGGGUACCUGAGCUUGGACUCUAUGAAAUUGAUGAAAAUGCUUCUGACCUGUUCAGUUGCCAUGAUUUGAACAAAAUUUAUGAUUAUCAUCCACUUUAUUCUUACCAGAGAGGUACUCGGUGUCUCAUUCCUCUUAAACACACACCAACAUGGAACUUGUGAAAAACUAUGUCAAGAAAGCAAUGCCAUCGCUCAGUAGCGAUCAGAUGGAUACACUAAUGGCUAAACUGGAGGAAUUAGGAGUUCUCUCUGUAGAUGACCUGAGCCUUGUGGACCCAGAGGACAUUAAGGCACUCUGCCAUUCAUUCAGUGCAAAAGAUUCGUCAGAGCUGUCAAAGCAUUGGAAGCAGAUUCACAAGCUCCACCGCAGUUUACCAGGCCUGGCCCCUCAUCAACACCUGAGCCACAGAGGUUACAGCUGCCCUCAACACCACCUGAGACAGCCGACUCCCCAUCCCAAGACACAUAUUCUGUUCCAUGGCACAAAUUUCCCUCAAAAGUCAUGGAUGACUUGCAUGAAAAGAAGUACAUAAUGGGGAAAGACAGACGAGAGAUGGUUCGGAUCGUCGCUGAAGAUUACCUCCACAAACACCCAGGAAGACCUGGUAGACAAAAGCUGAGGGAACUCGCCAGUAUGAUUGUAGGACAAUAUCCUGCCUCCUUCAAGCUGACAGAGCCAUUUGGAAACGAACCUUUUGCAAAAGAUGGUUCUGAAACUGUCUUUCGUCAGCUGGAACACAGAAUUGAAAAUAUGAAGAGGCCACAAAGCUCACUGAGGAGGCGAGCAGGGGGUGAAAAUUCAACAAAGAAAAGGCCCAGGAAUUCAGAUCUGUAUGGAUGUGUGGCGUGGGAUCCAAUCAUUGAGGGGACUGUGUGUAGAGAAGACCUGCUGUCUAAACGAGAUGACUUGAAACGUGCCUUUCAAACCCGGGAUCUUCAGGAACUUUCCAAAAAAGAAAAGGGGAUCAAUGACUUCCUUGACUCCAAAGGGAUGAAGAUGGGCGAAGGUCCAAUACAGCUCAUCUGUGGCAUUGCAAAAUACUUCAAGGAAGACUGUUAUAAACUCUUCGACAAAAAAGAGAUCUCUGCAGAUCCUGAAGUCGAACUCCCAGUGACCCCAUGCAUCCUAGUCAGAGGUGACCAGCAAUUCAAGAUUGCUCUUGAUGGGUUACUUGUCAAUGACCACAUCACCUCUCCCAUUGUGGCCUUGAGCUACGUCUUCUCCAUGUUUUAUGUCUGCAACAUCCAAUACCCACCGGAGAUGGCUUUUACUCUCGAAUUCAUGCAGAGAGUUUUCUUUGGGAUCAAUCCUGAGCGAGGCUCCAAGGCAGAGAAGAAGGGGAAGAAACGGCACUUCAUUCCUCCACAGAAAGGUCAGACACUGGUUGCAGAGCUCUGCCUGUCGGUGUGAUAUGUGGAGUUGGAGGUGUAGGUUUCUGCAUCCUCCUGGAGGGGGCUGCUCAUUUUGCACUGACAGUUGUGUGAUGUCACGAGAGGCUGUGUCCUGGAAGGGUGCUACAUCCCCCUGAGAUGGCUGCAACCAUGAGCAGCUAUGGCUCUAUCUGCUGGUGGAGUCGGGAACUCCACCCGUCAAAACAUGGCAUUCCCGCACACCUGAGACUGAUCAGGGUUUGAUGACCUGAAGGGUUUUAAGGACUAGAGACACUGUUAGUGGGAGAGGGGUUUUUGUUGGGAGACAAGAUGCGGGUUGUGCGUUCUGGGAAAGACCAGACCGCUCCAGUAUCGUAUCCAGUGAGGAAGGCUGGAAACACCACCAGACAUUAGAAGGACUUACAACUGGAAUAGCCUUGGGCUAGGACACCCAGUAAAGUAAGGUUGAAAAGACUGUUUACUUACCUGAGGAAAUCAGGAUUACCGCCAAGAAGAAGCGUCAUUUAAGUUUUCUGUUGAAGGUAGACCUGACCCUGAGUUACCUUUUUGAAUUUGGCACGCUGUUUCUGUUAAUUCCUUAGAACUA